Molecule: long non-coding RNA, 1113 nt
Organism: Pseudopipra pipra
Lineage: Eukaryota; Metazoa; Chordata; Aves; Passeriformes; Pipridae
Exons: 2
Source: RefSeq, a predicted model, not a curated record
CGCCGGCGGGACAGGGGGGUGGGGUGGGAGAAGGUUCCUGAUCCCGGGGCCGAGUUGCUGGACAGGGAAGCACCCGCUCGAAGAGCAGUCGUUUUCACCUGAUCUUGGCUCUCUGGGUGAAGAACAACAUUCAGUGAGUGGAAGAAUAUACAUGCACUAAAGAUUAACGAGCUUUUUAUUUCGAUUGACAACUACAAUCUAUCAAUCUGCUGUAUACAGCGUCCAAUACCCUUGUGUCAUGCUAGCAUAGCUCCAGGCACUCAUCUUGCCCGAGCCUUUGCAGAGGCUGCCGAGAUCAGCCCUUCCUUCGCUGGCAGCAGCAGGGUCUAAGUGAGUCUGGAGGUUAUCAGCUCGCUAAUGGCACGUAAUGGUAAUUAGUGAUGGAUUUUCUUCCCCUUCUGUUAGAGAUCUGUGUGAAUGAAGUACACAAGUACUUUAGUGUGUAUAAAGUACAGGAAAGGGAUAUUAUUAUUGUAUGAGAGCAAUCAAAAAGUUAGACCAAACCAGAGCUGAUGCUGCUUAUUUGCUCUUUAUUCAGUCCUUUCAUACCAAUGCAUUAGCAGACAAACAUUAUGUUGCAAACCCAUAUAUUCUUCCCCCCCGGCUCUCCACCCCCAAGGUUUCCUGUCUCAUUCAAUAUGUUAGAGUCACUAUCUGACUUGCGAAUAUUCUGGGCUUAUUUUCUGUGAAGGAGAGCUGCCUGAAGGACACUUGUUUUAUGUGUUUCAGGUGAUGAAAGAUGUGAAGGUACCAAGUGAAGGUUACAGAAAGUGACAAGAUCAGGCAGAAUAAUGCUGCUUUGGAAAACUGGACUUUAGUCAUGCCAGUGAUAUAGUCAUUACAUUACAUUAAUGAAGUUUUUUUCAACCUAACGUGGUGUAUAGAUGCGCUGAGCCUUUGUUGCAAAUACAGUAAUGGUCAUGCUUUGUCUGUUCUGUAAGUCUCUCCACACUGAGAAGUUAAGUUCUCUGAAAUCUCUCACACUUUAAUCACCCAAAAUAAGAUUUUUGAAAUCUCAGUACCUCAAGGCUGUAUCUCUAAAAGAGAGGUGAUGACAUGCUCCUUAGUUCUGAGUGGUUCAUGAAAAUAAAUUUAAUAAUGUCUGCAAAAAUA